UACGUAGGGUGCAAGCGUUAUCCGGAUUCACUGGGUUUAAAGGGUGCGUAGGAGGGCAGGUAAGUCAGUGGUGAAAUCUCCGAGCUUAACUUGGAAACUGCCGUUGAUACUAUCUGUCUUGAAUAUUGUGGAGGUGAGCGGAAUAUGUCAUGUAGCGGUGAAAUGCUUAGAUAUGACAUAGAACACCGAUAGCGAAGGCAGCUUGCUACACGAGUAUUGACACUGAGGCACGAAAGCGUGGGGAUCAAACAGG
RNAcentral lists this ribosomal RNA (253 nucleotides) under uncultured bacterium. Its description in RNAcentral is "partial 16S ribosomal RNA". It matches the Rfam family "Bacterial small subunit ribosomal RNA", at positions 524 to 776 of the family's 1533-position model. The record is from RNAcentral.